GGCCGGGUAGCCAAGUGGUAAGGCAAGGGCCUGCAAAGCCCCUACGCGCGGGUUCGAUUCCCGCCCCGGCCU
Molecule: transfer RNA, 72 nt
Filed under: Actinomycetota bacterium
Lineage: Bacteria; Bacillati; Actinomycetota
Also listed under: 1 other name
Description: tRNA-Cys
Rfam family: tRNA
About the family: Transfer RNA (tRNA) molecules are approximately 80 nucleotides in length. Their secondary structure includes four short double-helical elements and three loops (D, anti-codon, and T loops). Further hydrogen bonds mediate the characteristic L-shaped molecular structure. tRNAs have two regions of fundamental functional importance: the anti-codon, which is responsible for specific mRNA codon recognition, and the 3' end, to which the tRNAs corresponding amino acid is attached (by aminoacyl-tRNA synthetases). tRNAs cope with the degeneracy of the genetic code in two manners: having more than one tRNA (with a specific anti-codon) for a particular amino acid; and 'wobble' base-pairing, i.e. permitting non-standard base-pairing at the 3rd anti-codon position.
Source: RNAcentral